AAAAGACGUUAGUGUGUGCAGCCUCGGGGUCAACCCUGGGACGCUGCGAAAAAUAAAUGCGACCACGGCGACGUGCUGCGUCACCUCCGCCGUCGGGAAACUAGCCGGCGCGACCGAUGGAGUACACCGCAGGCGGUGCCGGGUAGCGCCCGCGCAGCAUCGUUUGGCACGGGCAUCCGGAGGAGUGCACCUGAUCUCAGCCAGCCGAGCUUCCGGCGCCGUCCUCCCAGGCCAGAGCCUUUGUUCGCACACACAGCCCCGGCGCCGCGUGUCGACGCGUUUCUGCAGUGUCCCACCGUGGAUGGACAAAACCCUCCACAGGUGAGCCGAGACGUGGUCGGAACCCGAAUGGCGAACACCUCGGAAACGAAGUCGGCAACUCCGCCUGAUCGCCGCGCCAACCUGGGUCCCAAACCAGACCCUGUGCCUCCGGAAAACAUGUGCAGCCAGGGACACGUUGUGACCGAACCGAAAGAGGAGCCGCGCACGCCGCCCAAUACGCCAACAGCCGACAGCUUCACGGAAGCGCCCCUGGCAGUGCCAGCGCAACGCGAGCCUCCUCCUGCCGUGGCCGAUUCCACCGCAGAUCAACCGGUGAGGCAUGGCAGAGACUGGAGCAGCGCCGGCAAGCCUCACGCGUGUCACAUCUGCAGGCGCCGCUACUGCUCCGUGGAGUGGCUGCGCCGUCACGUGGUCACCCACGAGCGAGGGAAACCGCUGAAGUGCGAUCGCUGCGGUCGCUCGUACAUGAUGCGACCGGCGCUCGCAAAGCACAAGGCAAACGUGCACGGCAUGUAAUGCCCACAGUGCGGUAAUUAUUUUUUUUUGCUUCAAUAAACAGUUUGCGUGACCAGCUCUGCUGCGUGUCAGCGCAACACUACAAAAAAACUCAGUGUCCUUCCACUCU
This is an RNA transcript of Dermacentor albipictus, 907 nucleotides long. It is a transcript of the gene named protein glass-like, with no coding region annotated. The record is from RefSeq and is a predicted model, not a curated record. Lineage: Eukaryota; Metazoa; Arthropoda; Arachnida; Ixodida; Ixodidae.